Molecule: ribosomal RNA, 2260 nt
Filed under: human gut metagenome
Description: bacterial LSU rRNA
Rfam family: Bacterial large subunit ribosomal RNA
Source: RNAcentral
ACCGGGGGAACUGAAACAUCUAAGUACCCCGAGGAAAAGAAAUCAACCGAGAUUCCCCCAGUAGCGGCGAGCGAACGGGGAGCAGCCCAGAGUCUGAAUCAGCUUGUGUGUUAGUGGAACGGUCUGGAAAGUCCGACGGUACAGGGUGAUAGUCCCGUACACCAAAAUGCACAGGUUGUGAACUCGAAGAGUAGGGCGGGACACGUGGUAUCCUGUCUGAAUAUGGGGGGACCAUCCUCCAAGGCUAAAUACUCCUGACUGACCGAUAGUGAACCAGUACCGUGAGGGAAAGGCGAAAAGAACCCCGGCGAGGGGAGUGAAAAAGAACCUGAAACCGUGUACGUACAAGCAGUGGGAGCACCUUCGGGUGUGACUGCGUACCUUUUGUAUAAUGGGUCAGCGACUUAUAUUCUGUAGCAAGGUUAACCGUAUAGGGGAGCCGCAGGGAAACCGAGUCUUAACUGGGCGUUAAGUUGCAGGGUAUAGACCCGAAACCCGGUGAUCUAGCCAUGGGCAGGUUGAAGGUUGGGUAACACUAACUGGAGGACCGAACCGACUAAUGUUGAAAAAUUAGCGGAUGACUUGUGGCUGGGGGUGAAAGGCCAAUCAAACCGGGAGAUAGCUGGUUCUCCCCGAAAGCUAUUUAGGUAGCGCCUCGUGAAUUCAUCUUCGGGGGUAGAGCACUGUUUCGGCUAGGGGGUCAUCCCGACUUACCAACCCGAUGCAAACUACGAAUACCGAAGAAUGUUAUCACGGGAGACACACGGCGGGUGCUAACGUCCGUCGUGAAGAGGGAAACAACCCAGACCGCCAGCUAAGGUCCCAAAGUCAUGGUUAAGUGGGAAACGAUGUGGGAAGGCACAGACAGCCAGGAUGUUGGCUUAGAAGCAGCCAUCAUUUAAAGAAAGCGUAAUAGCUCACUGGUCGAGUCGGCCUGCGCGGAAGAUGUAACGGGGCUAAACCAUGCACCGAAGCUGCGGCAGCGACACUAUGUGUUGUUGGGUAGGGGAGCGUUCUGUAAGCCUGCGAAGGUGGCCUGUGAGGGCUGCUGGAGGUAUCAGAAGUGCGAAUGCUGACAUAAGUAACGAUAAAGCGGGUGAAAAGCCCGCUCGCCGGAAGACCAAGGGUUCCUGUCCAACGUUAAUCGGGGCAGGGUGAGUCGACCCCUAAGGCGAGGCCGAAAGGCGUAGUCGAUGGGAAACAGGUUAAUAUUCCUGUACUUGGUGUUACUGCGAAGGGGGGACGGAGAAGGCUAUGUUAGCCGGGCGACGGUUGUCCCGGUUUAAGCAUGUAGGCGGAGGUUCCAGGUAAAUCCGGUACCUUUUAACGCUGAGAUGUGAUGACGAGGCACUACGGUGCUGAAGUAACAAAUGCCCUGCUUCCAGGAAAAGCCUCUAAGCAUCAGGUAACAUCAAAUCGUACCCCAAACCGACACAGGUGGUCAGGUAGAGAAUACCAAGGCGCUUGAGAGAACUCGGGUGAAGGAACUAGGCAAAAUGGUGCCGUAACUUCGGGAGAAGGCACGCUGGUGUGUAGGUGAAGUCCCUGCGGAUGGAGCUGAGACCAGUCGAAGAUACCAGCUGGCUGCAACUGUUUAUUAAAAACACAGCACUGUGCAAACACGAAAGUGGACGUAUACGGUGUGACGCCUGCCCGGUGCCGGAAGGUUAAUUGAUGGGGUUAUCCGUAAGGAGAAGCUCUUGAUCGAAGCCCCGGUAAACGGCGGCCGUAACUAUAACGGUCCUAAGGUAGCGAAAUUCCUUGUCGGGUAAGUUCCGACCUGCACGAAUGGCGUAAUGAUGGCCAGGCUGUCUCCACCCGAGACUCAGUGAAAUUGAACUCGCUGUGAAGAUGCAGUGUACCCGCGGCAAGACGGAAAGACCCCGUGAACCUUUACUAUAGCUUGACACUGAACAUUGAGCCUUGAUGUGUAGGAUAGGUGGGAGGCUUUGAAGCGUGGACGCCAGUCUGCGUGGAGCCAACCUUGAAAUACCACCCUUUAAUGUUUGAUGUUCUAACGUAGGCCCCUAAUCGGGGUUGCGGACAGUGUCUGGUGGGUAGUUUGACUGGGGCGGUCUCCUCCCAAAGAGUAACGGAGGAGCACGAAGGUUAGCUAAUCCUGGUCGGACAUCAGGAGGUUAGUGCAAUGGCAUAAGCUAGCUUGACUGCGAGCGUGACGGCGCGAGCAGGUGCGAAAGCAGGUCAUAGUGAUCCGGUGGUUCUGAAUGGAAGGGCCAUCGCUCAACGGAUAAAAGGUACC